This 731-nucleotide ribosomal RNA is filed under the name Alteromonadales bacterium HOT3B5. RNAcentral's name for it is "bacterial SSU rRNA". It matches the Rfam family "Bacterial small subunit ribosomal RNA", at positions 93 to 826 of the family's 1533-position model. The record is from RNAcentral. Lineage: Bacteria; Pseudomonadati; Pseudomonadota; Gammaproteobacteria; Alteromonadales.
GAGUGGCGGACGGGUGAGUAAUGCUUGGGAACUUGCCUUUGCGAGGGGGAUAACAGUUGGAAACGACUGCUAAUACCGCAUAAUGUCUUCGGACCAAACGGGGCUUCGGCUCCGGCGCAAAGAGAGGCCCAAGUGAGAUUAGCUAGUUGGUAAGGUAACGGCUUACCAAGGCGACGAUCUCUAGCUGUUCUGAGAGGAAGAUCAGCCACACUGGGACUGAGACACGGCCCAGACUCCUACGGGAGGCAGCAGUGGGGAAUAUUGCACAAUGGGGGAAACCCUGAUGCAGCCAUGCCGCGUGUGUGAAGAAGGCCUUCGGGUUGUAAAGCACUUUCAGUUGUGAGGAAAAGUUAGUAGUUAAUACCUGCUAGCCGUGACGUUAACAACAGAAGAAGCACCGGCUAACUCCGUGCCAGCAGCCGCGGUAAUACGGAGGGUGCGAGCGUUAAUCGGAAUUACUGGGCGUAAAGCGCACGCAGGCGGUUUGUUAAGCUAGAUGUGAAAGCCCCGGGCUCAACCUGGGAUGGUCAUUUAGAACUGGCAGACUAGAGUCUUGGAGAGGGGAGUGGAAUUCCAGGUGUAGCGGUGAAAUGCGUAGAUAUCUGGAGGAACAUCAGUGGCGAAGGCGACUCCCUGGCCAAAGACUGACGCUCAUGUGCGAAAGUGUGGGUAGCGAACAGGAUUAGAUACCCUGGUAGUCCACACCGUAAACGCUGUCUACUAGCUGUGUG